RNAcentral lists this long non-coding RNA (326 nucleotides) under Elaeis guineensis (African oil palm). RNAcentral describes it as "long non-coding RNA (EGUI_LNC003246)". The record is from RNAcentral. Lineage: Eukaryota; Viridiplantae; Streptophyta; Magnoliopsida; Arecales; Arecaceae.
CUGAAGUGGAUCAUGAAAGAUUAUUCGAGCUGCUCAAAGGAGUUAAUGCUCCCUGGUUGAAGUCUAGAAUACCAGGCUCGAGCAGUCUUCUGAAUAAUUAUCGGAAAGCCAAUGUAUAAGAGGACGUCGGUUGCCUCUUGGAUUAUCGUGAGAGCCUUAUAGCUCUUCAAAUGAUCGAUCGGGUCGGUGGAGCCAUCGUAUGGCUCCAUCUGUGGCUUCUUGAAUCGAGACAGAAUCGGUUUAUCUAAGAUGCGCUGAGAGAGAGGCUAGAUAGUGUGGAAGUCAUAGUCGUUGGAGGAUUUUCAACCUUCCACCUAAAGUCGGGC